CAAAAACCACACUAAAAAGUUAAUAUAUAAAGAAACUAAUAGAACAAAAAAGCUUGAAGUAUGGGGCGGGGAUAUGGAAGACCAAAAGAAAAUGUUAAAAACAAGAAAUAUUUGAAAGGAAACACCUUUAUCAGGAGAAAUUAAAUAUUACACUCCCAUUUUUCCUCUUUCUAAUAAUGGUAUGGAUCAACAAAUGAAGUUUGAAAUUUUUUUGUUUUUUUUGGUACCGGGGAUCGAACUUGGGACCUUGCGCUUACGAGGCAGGUGGUGGAACCGUUGAGCUAAAUCCCCAGGCCAUGAAGUUUGAACUUUUUAAGAUGACUAAAUAUAUUUUGUUUUUUAAGUGCACAACUGAUCUUUCUAUACUGUAAUUUUCUUUGAUGUGGCUGGAAAAUGGCCAGACUGCUAACUUUGUGCCUUUAAAAUGCAUUCUGCUUUGACAGUGGCAGACUUUUUGGUGCUGGAGAAGAUUUACUAGCAGUCAUUUAUGUGCUUUUCAGGAAGUAUCUUUCUACUUAGGCCUUGAGAGAUUCAAAGUAGCAUGACUUAGGCUUGGACCAAAUAUAAGAUCUUUUACAUUGUGAAGUAUAUUGAAUAAAAGGAUUGAAAAAUAUCGUAGUGGAAAUUUUGAUCGAUUUGUAAUUCUUUAACAUAUGUUUAAAGGUAUACAGACUUUUUAAAAAUCCUGAAAUUUUUUAGUACUUUUCCUUGUAUACAAAACAUUUUCUAAUUUAAAAAAUCACUAGGACUAUUGCCUUAGAAAGUAUUAAAAGGUACAGUUACCCUUACAUGAUGUGUAUGAGAUUUAAUAUUGAUGCUGAAAGAAAUGAAAACUCUGAUUCCAGAAUAAAUUGAAUUGGCUUUCAUUUGAGAGUCUUUACCUGAUUCCCAAUAGAAACUACUUAAAAAGGUUGAAAAUACUUCUUUAGAAUAGCUUUCUGCUACUACAUACAGCUCUGACACAAGUUGGGUCAGAUCUGUAGUAUUUCUGAGAGGGAGCUUACAAGACAUGUGAAAUCACUAAGAAAAUAAAAUCAAAUCUGAAUAUUUUAGCAGUAUGACUAAGCCAAGUGAAGACUCUUUGGCCAACAGUAGAGUUCUAUGCCAAUAAUUUCAUGUGGGGUCUAGGAACCAGUAGCUUGAUAUAAAAUCACCUGGUAUCAAUUCUGUCUAUGAAUCUUUCCAUCUCUUUAAAAUAGGGUGAGUCUUUUCUUCAUUUGCUUUCUAGUAAUCGUGACUUGCUAUAAGUAGGAAAUUAACAUCCUUGAAGUCACAGUCUAAGGGGAAUAUGGACGAACAGAGUUACUUUAUAGCAGACACUAAAUCUGAAAGUUCAGCAAUGCUGUUAUGAUUUUUUUUUGUAAAGUAAGGGGAGAGCAAGUUUGGGUAAACAUUGGCUGUUAUAAACCAAAAUGUCAUUAAUAGGAAUUAUAGUAAAAAUAUCCCCAAAUUUAGGGAGACCUCCAAGGUCAGACAGCUUAUCUCUCUCUCAGGACCCCUCUUACUACAAACAGCCUCUACUCAAAGAGUCCCAGGGAUAGCAAGCAUUUAUUCCAUAAUACCGCCCCCCUCCCCCCAGCAGUCUUGUAAAGAAAAAAAAUUUUUCUUUUGGUCUAAAUUGUGAAAAAAUUCAAAAACAUUUGGUAGAAAUUAAACUCUGUCAACAGUGUUUAUGCUAAGAAUAGGACAGUUUCUUAAGACCAUAUUAUUUUAAGUUUGGUGGUUGCUUUAAAUAUUUAUUUGAAUUUAAGAUUGGUUAAAUGGUAACAUAAAGCAAUUUAAUUGUUGGUUUUUAUUAGUGCCUUUUUUCUCUGUAUGCCUUUUAUUUUAUAUUACUAAUUCAGAUUACCCACCAAAAUGAGGAUUUUUUUUUUUUCCCCAAAUCAGUAGGCUUCAAGAGUUUAGACUGUGUAUUGGCCUUCAAAUGUUUCUUAAUGCCUACUUCCUCCUCCUGCCCUUUUCUUUUACCUCUUUUUUGUUUUUUUUUUUAAUGUUAGGAAAGAAACAUUAGUGUUUGUCUGAGAUACUGCAAUCUCCGCUAGUCUUAAAUAAGCAUAGAGUUAUUCAAAGUAGUAAAUUGUUUUCUAGGUUGAUUACUUGAUUUUCAAUCACAUUGGCAUCCUCCAGGUUCUUUGUAUGUCAUGGUUCAGUUACAAUUUUCAUAGCAGAGCUAGAGUAGUUGUUUUUGCCUAAAGAGGUUGUUUAAAACGGUUUACCAGUGCUAAGCCAGUGAAUGAGAUGUGAGGCAAUGAGCAAAAAAUACAGAGACAGUAAAUUCUAAUCCUUAGGGUUUAACAUUUUGACAUAUACUCUAGCUUACUUUUCUGUGAAGUGUGUGUGUGUAUGUGUGUGUGUGUGUGUGUGUGUGUGUGUGUGUGUGUGUGGUGUUUGGAGUUGGGUGAGAGGAAAGGGAAUGAAGCAAGGAGAGGGAGGGAGGAAGAAAGGAAGAAGUAUGAAUGUUCAGUUAGAUCAGUCUCUGUUCUGAGAGGAGCAACACAAAAAUGUAUGACCUACUGACCAUGAAUGAAAAUAAUCAUCCUCCAGUAGGAAUGCCAGUACAUUUUUCCCAAGUAGCUAGUAUAAAUGAUUUUUAAUAGAGGUAUUUAUUGUAAAUUUCCAAGCUCUUUGUUGCUAAAAGUAGACUAAAAUUUAGUUUGUGUAUGUGUAUAAUAAUGAGCUUAUAUAUAAUUCUUCAAUAGAAAGUAAUUGAUGUCACAUAGUUCUUUAUGAACUCUUUGGAAUAGAAGUUCUGCCAGACAUUAUCUAAACAAGCUUUCUUAGCUUACCGAGUAUCCUAAAGGAAAUUCUCUUAUACCUCUUUUUGGUUGGCUAGGGAAAUGUGUGCUGUGAAAUCACUGUUCCUACUUCAUUGCUUUGACUUCUUCCAUGGCCUGAAUAGGAUGCCAUAAUAGGUGUGGGAAAUAUCAGGGCCACCCAUCUCUCUCUCUUUUCACUAUUGGGAGGUGUAGAUUCUAAUAAGCUCUCAGGGGAGCCUAGGGAUUCUUUAUACUUGGUUGAAAUGACAAUGGUCAGGGUUGACUUUCAUGGAGGUGAGGGAGGAGUCAUAGCUAUAGUAAAGAAUAAAUUGUACCUGUUGCCUGUAUACAGUGUCAUAUAAUUCUUCAUGUUUUUCGUAAUUGUGCAUUUUAAUCCACAGUCAUAUGGUAUUUUUGUUAGUAACAAAGGCUGUCAGUGAAUACUGUUAUCCUCUCUGCUUGAUGACUUAUUUGUAUCACAAUCUGUAUUAUCAGAAUCACUGUAAACCAAAGCUUUUAUAUUUCCUGCACACAUAGCCAAAAUGAUUAGUCCUGUUACAUCUGCCCACUUGUAAGCUAAUAGCAUAAAAAUGGUAAAGCAGGUACUAGUAGAAUGUGAUCCCAGUCUAUCCUUUGAGGAAAGGGACAGGUGCUCAGUGUUUGCAUUUAGACAUGCAGAAUUUACUUCACUUAUAAAGGAACUAUAUAGAUACUACAUACCUAAUUAACUUGUACUUGUGCCAAUCUUAUUGUCACUUGACCAUAGAUGCAUGUAGAUGUGUUAAUGUCUGAUGCUCAGGUUGGUGGCAUAUUUUCUCCCUAGUGUCUUAACAUGUAUGAGCUUGUGUUUGACUUGAGAGGCAUUUCACCAAAGCUGUGAAGAAAAGGAGGUUAUGGACUGACAUCUGCUUUGUGCUACAGACACUUUGGAACACAGGAAAGCACCUAUUUUUAGCAUAUGUGCAGAAUUUGUCCCCAAAUAAGGAUUUCUAAAUCUCUUAAUGCCAGUUGAGAAGAGUAAAGUUUAUGACUAUCCUGAAAAGCACUUUUCUGUUCAAUUAUUUAUAUUUUUUAGAACUUCUUUUUAAAAACCAUAUGUAACUAGUGAUGAGUUUAGCAUUAACAUUACUUGGAUGGGAGAGAUGAGUAACAAAACUGCGUCUUAAACUCUAUCAGAUAUUUAGAAUCCAGAAUGGAUUUGACAUAUUCUCAUUUUUCCAAAGAAUUUUUUCCACCUGGAAAUAAGAGAGGACUAGGGGAAGCAUUUGUAAAAAAAUGGGUAAAAGAGGAUCAGCCCCUUGCAAUACACAAUUUUCAAUUAAUAGUACAGUGUCUAGGUACAAGAAUACUUCUUUAAACACAAACUAUUAUUUUAAUACAAUCUUAGUAAAAGGUUUACAUAUUUUCUAUUGCUGUUGGUUUUUAAAUUUGCUAUCCUGCAUUCUGAAAUAUUAUAAAAGUUAAUAUGAAAAAUACUUUUAAUGUCUACCAUCUCUUACAUUUCACACAGUUCUUUUUAUUUAUUGUAAAUAAAAGUAAAUGGAUAAAUUUGAAAAUAAACUUUUAAUUAUUGCAAACUAUGAUUAUCAAUUUGUAAACUUACCUUUGACUUAAUGUACAUUUUUAAAUGUAGCCACUAAAUUCUCUAUAUUUAACCUAUUGGUUUCUCUCAGUAAACGUUUUUAAUCUCAUUUGAGUGCUGGGCAAUUUAUAAUUAUCUACAAAGGUUUUUUUGUUUCCUAACAAGUUUGACUUUUUUGCACAUUUUUGAUAAUGUUUAAUUUGUACACUGAUAUAUUACUCUGACCAAUAAUUGUUGAGUGUAUGAGUAUCAUGAAUGCGUGCAUCAAACUACUGUCUGUGUCUCUUGUUUUAACUUCUUUCAAGAUGUACAUCUUUCAAGAUGUAGCUAUCAGUUAAUAACUGCUAUGACUGACUUAAGUGGACCUUCUUGCUUUUACCAAGCAUACUUAUCUAUGGUUCUAUCUUUGUUGAAGAACUCAGGAGUUCAACAUUACUUUCCAAUUUUAUAAUAUAGUCUAAAAUCCAUUACUAAGCUGAAAGUAUGCUUUGUAACUCUAUGUAUCAGGGGAUGUGUGUUUGUGUGAAGAUGUCUUUUUCUGUUUGUAGGCACAUGAAUAUAUCCCAGUAAAUUCUUAUUUUCAUUUUAUUUCUACAUUUUUAUGAACUUGUUUUAUAAGGGUAUUAUUUAGUUAGGAUAAAUAUAUAUAAAAGCUUUCUGAGAGAUUACUAUAUGAAUAUAUUUUCAGCUGGCUGAUCAAAAAUAUUUUUUUAAUUUUGUUUUUAAUCAUUUAAGAUGUAUUUGUAUUUCCAGAAUUGGACACAAGUUGUACUUAGAACUCAGUUAAAAUACUCCUGAAAGGAAAAUCAUGGAAUUCUCUUUUGACAAUUCUGUGAAAUGCAAAUUAGAAAAAAAGGCUUUAAGAAAUAGCAAAAACACACUGUUCACUAACAUGGACCUUUGAAUUGUCAGAGCUGUGGAAAAAAAAGUGAGAAACUAAAUUGUUUUAAUUCAAGAUUUUUGUAUUUCCAGUUGCUAUAGGCUUGUCCUACUGUUGUUUUUAAAUUUGCCUUUAUUUUCCCAAAAGAUUUCAGCUUUUUUUAGUUUUUCCUUACUGAGCAAGGUCAGACUGGGCUUAUAAAACAAUACAUUGGCAUAUAUGAUGCUUUGUAAUUGACUAUAAAUUGGUUUAGAAAUGUCCACACCCCAUUGUUGUGUUGGUUAUACUGUACUGUGUGUUUUUAGGAACUGGCAGAAAAAGAAUUGGAAAUUAGGUUUCCAAUCUGACAGUGUUACUGUAUUUAAAGAAAACCUUGUUUUUAAUUUCAGGUACCACGUAAAAUUACUUGUGUUAGGAAUAAAGUCCACUGUUGAAGUUGAAUGUCAUUUGUUAAAAGGAACCAGUGUGUUUAGAACCUAUCAGAAGCCAGAUAUAGUGUGGUAUGUGCCACAUUUCAUGCACAUUUGAGUUUGUGCUAUUCAUUUAAAAUAUGCUUGUAAAAAUGUAUAAAAUUCCUGAAUUUUAUUUCUAUGUACUUUUUUUUGCUGUUAAAUAGCUUUUUAAAAAAUUAAUAUAAAAAGAAACCAUGUUUAUAUUUUGUUAGUGAUCAAUGAUUUUGUUUAUAUGGAAAUUUGUAUAUUGUUGGCACUCAUCUUUUGUUUAGAUUUAUCAUGCAUGAAGGCUUGCAAUAAUUAGCACAAUGAAAAUUGCUUUUUCUUAUAUGUUCAUUUUUUUGUUUUUUUGAAAGAUUGUGGUGCAAAGGCUUACUUUAAGUAACCUUCUGGACUAUGGAACGAAUAUAAGUGAAUGGCACUUUGAGUGUUAAUAAAGCUGAUAUUUAUUU
This 6122-nucleotide long non-coding RNA is filed under the name Heterocephalus glaber (naked mole-rat). RNAcentral describes it as "lncRNA (ENSHGLG00100044027.1)". The record is from RNAcentral. Lineage: Eukaryota; Metazoa; Chordata; Mammalia; Rodentia; Bathyergidae.